Molecule: microRNA, 21 nt
Filed under: Hevea brasiliensis (rubber tree)
Lineage: Eukaryota; Viridiplantae; Streptophyta; Magnoliopsida; Malpighiales; Euphorbiaceae
Description: hbr-miR396a
Gene: hbr-miR396a
Source: miRBase by way of RNAcentral
CACAGCUUUCUUGAACUUUCU